This 103-nucleotide small nuclear RNA is filed under the name Dasypus novemcinctus (nine-banded armadillo). Lineage: Eukaryota; Metazoa; Chordata; Mammalia; Cingulata; Dasypodidae. The record is from RNAcentral.
GUGCUGGCUUCAGCAGCACAUAUACUAAAAUAGGAAUGACAUAAGAUUAGCACGACCCCUGUGCAAUGAUGACAUGUAAAUUCAUGAAGCAUGCCACAUUUUA